UCCGAAACAAAAGAUCCUACAAGAGUACAACCUCAUUUGAAGAAAUGCUUUGAGGGUAUUGCUACAUUAAAAUUCACCGAAGAAUUGGAGGUUACAGUAAUGCGUUCCUCAGAACGUGAAGAGGUGGAAUUGGUGGAUAUUAUAUCCACCGCUAAAGCUAGAGGUCAAGUGGAGAAAUGGUUGCU
This 185-nucleotide long non-coding RNA is filed under the name Lucilia cuprina (Australian sheep blowfly). RNAcentral describes it as "rhabdomyosarcoma 2 associated transcript conserved region 9". Lineage: Eukaryota; Metazoa; Arthropoda; Insecta; Diptera; Calliphoridae. The record is from RNAcentral.